GAAAGUGUUAGUAUUUCAACGGUUGUCAAACUUGCCGCUUACGUGUCGUCACCCGAAAACGCGUGAUUCUGUGACGUUGUCACGCAAAUGAUAUCAUUCGAUAUAAAUAACAUAAUAAAAAUUUCUUGCAAUCUGUGCAAUUGCAAUGGUGUAGUUUCAUAGUAAACUCAUGAAUAUGCAACAGAACGUAUUAGUGAUAUCAGUAGACUGCGCAAACAUACGAUUCACUGUGUAGGCAAAGUGUCCUUUUAAGGUUAUGCCACAGUUGUUGAGAGGUUAAAAUAUUUUUAAGAGAAGAAAUUCGUGUCAAUGCGAGUGACAAUUGGCACAAGCUCAAAUUUUUACGAUCAUGGUCGACGAAGAUAUCAUUGCGAACGCAUCGCCGUACGAUUAUCACGCAGUGAAUGCGGAGAAUGCUCAGAACACCUCUAGAGAGAAACGAAUACAAGACACAAUGUUUUCGGACGUUAGAUCAGUCAGUAAAAAAGACUGGAUAACAGUAUUGUGUUUGUGUUUUGUCAACCUCAUCAAUUAUAUGGAUCGUUUCACGAUCGCUGGAGUGUUGACAAACAUAAAGCAUGACUUUGGUAUUCGCAAUGAUUUGUCUGGAUUUUUACAGACUGCAUUUAUCUUAAGUUACAUGAUAUUUGCACCAAUGUUUGGGUAUUUAGGGGAUCGUUACAACAGGAAAGUUAUAAUGAGCGCUGGUGUAUUUUUGUGGUGUUUAACUACAUUUGUUGGCUCUUAUAUGAAGUCAUUUGGAUGGUUUCUCUUCUUCAGGGCUCUUGUUGGAGUAGGUGAAGCCAGUUACUCCACAAUUGCUCCAACAAUAAUAAGCGACUUAUUUGUUAAAGAUUUGCGCUCUAAAAUGCUUGCAUUGUUUUACUUUGCGAUACCUGUUGGAAGUGGAUUAGGGUAUAUAAUAGGUGGUGAAACAGCAAAAGCUACCGGUGCAUGGCAAUGGGGUUUACGUAUCACACCAGCUUUAGGUAUCAUAGCAAUUAUUUUACUCCUUGUGAUAGUAAGAGAUCCAAUCAGGGGGGAAAGAGAAGGUGGAGUUCAUUUGACAAGUACCGCAUGGUCAAGUGACAUCAAAGCAUUAUUAAGAAACCCAAGUUUUAUGUUCUCUACUGCUGGAUUUACAUGUGUAGCUUUUGUUGCUGGAGCACUAGCUUGGUGGGCACCAACAUUUUUACAGUUGGGAUUUGCAUUACAUCCUAAUGCACAUGAUGCUGAUCCUGAUGAUGUUGCAUACAAAUUUGGACUAAUAGGAAUGGCAGCUGGUUUAAUAGGAGUACCAUUAGGUUCACUUCUAGCUCAAAAACUAAGAGUAAAUUAUCAACAGGCUGAUCCUUUAAUAUGUGCUGUUGGACUUCUCAUUAGUGUACCAUUACUGUUCUUUGCAACUUUAACUGCCAAUACAAAUUCUGUCAUAUGUUAUACAUUAGUAUUCUUUGGACAAUUAUCAUUAAAUUUAAAUUGGUCUAUUGUCGCCGACAUCUUAUUGUAUGUAGUGAUUCCAACAAGAAGAUCUACAGCAGAAGCUUUCCAGAUACUCAUUGCCCAUGCUUUAGGAGAUGCAGGAAGCCCCUAUCUUAUUGGUCUGUUGUCAGAAGGACUGAAAACAGUUCUUCUUCCAGACACGGACAUAAAACCUACGACACACGAUGAUCAGCUUAUCGAGUUCCGAAGUUUACAAUAUGCAUUGUUUCUGACUAUGUUCGUAGAGGUCAUUGGAAGUCUAUUUUUCUUCCUCACGGCAUUGUAUAUACAGAAGGAUAAAGCACUAGUAGAUCUUACAAUCGCGGAAAAGUAUCUAGAUUCUAAGAAUAAUGGGCAAGCUGAAUCAACGCAUUUAUAAAAUGCAUCACUGGGCCUUCCCUGAUAGUAUGCUGUAAACCCGAAAAUGAUGAAGCUUGCCUACUAAGAAGAUUUUACACAUCAUAAAAUCAGUGUGUUUUGUUAGUUCUGCAUGACAAAUGGUUGCAUGUGGAAGUAUUUCAGACUCAAUGUACAUAUGUAACAACGAAGUUGAAAAUGAAUUACAAGAUGACAUGCACAAACCAUAAUGAGAAUAUUAG
RNAcentral lists this unclassified non-coding RNA (2081 nucleotides) under Megachile rotundata (alfalfa leafcutting bee). Its description in RNAcentral is "protein spinster, transcript variant X1". Lineage: Eukaryota; Metazoa; Arthropoda; Insecta; Hymenoptera; Megachilidae. The record is from RNAcentral.